UACGGAGGGAGCUAGCGUUGUUCGGAAUUACUGGGCGUAAAGCGCACGUAGGCGGCUUUGUAAGUUAGAGGUGAAAGCCCGGGGCUCAACCCCGGAAUUGCCUUUAAGACUGCAUCGCUUGAAUCCGGGAGAGGUGAGUGGAAUUCCGAGUGUAGAGGUGAAAUUCGUAGAUAUUCGGAAGAACACCAGUGGCGAGGGCGGCUCACUGGUCCGGUACUGACGCUGAGGUGCGAAAGCGUGGGGAGCAAACAGG
This 253-nucleotide ribosomal RNA is filed under the name uncultured bacterium. RNAcentral describes it as "partial 16S ribosomal RNA". It matches the Rfam family "Bacterial small subunit ribosomal RNA", at positions 524 to 776 of the family's 1533-position model. The record is from RNAcentral.